ACUCCUGCGGGAGGCAGCAGUGGGGAAUAUUGGACAAUGGGCGCAAGCCUGAUCCAGCCAUGCCGCGUGAGUGAUGAAGGCCCUAGGGUUGUAAAGCUCUUUCACCGGUGAAGAUAAUGACGGUAACCGGAGAAGAAGCCCCGGCUAACUUCGUGCCAGCAGCCGCGGUAAUACGAAGGGGGCUAGCGUUGUUCGGAUUUACUGGGCGUAAAGCGCACGUAGGCGGACUAUUAAGUCAGGGGUGAAAUCCCGGGGCUCAACCCCGGAACUGCCUUUGAUACUGGUAGUCUUGAGUUCGAGAGAGGUGAGUGGAAUUCCGAGUGUAGAGGUGAAAUUCGUAGAUAUUCGGAGGAACACCAGUGGCGAAGGCGGCUCACUGGCUCGAUACUGACGCUGAGGUGCGAAAGCGUGGGGAGCAAACAGGAUUAGAAACCCGAGUAGUCCCAUG
RNAcentral lists this ribosomal RNA (448 nucleotides) under uncultured organism. Its description in RNAcentral is "partial 16S ribosomal RNA". It matches the Rfam family "Bacterial small subunit ribosomal RNA", at positions 335 to 799 of the family's 1533-position model. The record is from RNAcentral.